GUCUCCUUUGAAGUGUAAAUUUGUGCUGCCCGGCUCCCUUUACUCAAACCUCAGGGUGUUGCGAGUGACUGUGGACCUAAAAUCCCAGCGCUCGGCCCUCCUACCCCUGUAAAUCCAGACGUCGCCGUUACGGGUCGGGUAUCUUUCAUUUGGGUUUGAAUUCGCUACGCGGCUGGUCCCUGCCCUUGGCUUUUCUGCCUUCGGUCCACGUACACACCGCCUUUCACUACAUUUUCCUGCUUAAAACGCUUUAGUAGCCCCCCACACACACCCAUGUAACGUCCCCUUCCGCGAGGUGGACUCGCGCCCCGCAGCCUCGCCCUCUCGGCCCCUGGAGGGCAGCGCCUGCCGCCCCGCUCCCGGACAGGCCGCGUCCUCUCCCCGGUCCUGGGAUUCUUCAGAACCGGCCCCUCUCCGGAACCCCCUUCUUCCCCGCCCCUCUGUCCUCGCGUCUCCUCAGGCCGGUCCUUUUGCUCUCCCGGCUUCCCCUUCGUAGUCAGCCCUUCCUCUCCCCCGGCGUGGGGGGCGGGGAGUGACCUGGGACAGGCGUGUGACACCCAGUGUUCUUCCGUCCCAAGCCCAUCUCGCUGGAAAAUUUCCUCUUUUGAUACGCGGGCAUCUUAUUCAGUCACCAUCUCUGUAAAUACGUGGGCGAGGGGGAUCAGGAGGAGCAGAGACAGACGGACAGGAAUAAAAAACAGAACGAGAAAAGAAUGAGGGAGAUUCGAUGGGAAUACAGGGGGUGGCUGAGGACUUGUAAAAGACAGGGAAAUGAAAGCGAUUAAGCACUGAAAUAGGUGAAAAAAAUAAAGAAGUAAAUUUUUAAAAAGUCGGAUCUCCAGGGAUGGGAGAGCAACACAGGGCCCUGGGUCAGCGGCGGGAUGGGGGUAACAAAGGAGAGGCACUUAACACAGAGUGGGCGAGAGGAUGAAAGAGUUGGAAACUUGGGCUGCAGAGCAACGUGGUGCUGGGAGAGAAAGAGGACAAAGUGUGACUAGAAGAGAAGAGGAAGAGAGAGAGAGAGAGCAGGAAGGAAGCGCAGCCAUCUGAGAUGCCAGAUAGGGAGGAGGAAGGGCGUGUAACAGGGACAGAAGGGGUGUCACCCGAAGGGCAGAGAGGGAGCAGGUGGGGGAAGAAAGAGGCAGAAAUACAUAGAGAUUUAGGGUAAUCAGAAGGGUUGGGGAGAAAGAGCAUCAGGAGGGGGAACAGGUUGCAGAGUUGGGCAGGACAGGUGUGAGGGAGGAAAUAGGAGGGCAGGAACAGCAGCAGAGCAGAGGGGAACAAGAAGAGAGACAGAGACAAAUAAAAAAAUAGGGAGACAUAAACCUCAUGAAAUGGAAACACAUUGUAGUGCAGGUAGGUGGUGGGAGCUGGCUGCAGAUGGAUGGUGAGUUGUUUGGAUAUGGAUGAUUAAGUUGUGAUACAUGAUUUGUUAUUUUAAAAUGUAAUUAAUUUUUCUUUAAUUAUACAGAUGAGGAUGAGAAUUGCAGAACUCCUGUCAUGUGCAUUUUGUAAUUAUUUGUAUCAGAAGAUAACUUCCAUUUGCAAACCCUGUUUAGCCAGGGGGCAGUGAUUUGCUUACUAAGUUAUUUCUUGGAGGCCUGCCUGCUUUCUCCUCUUUAUCUUUUGUACCGGAAAAGCUCUUUGAGGAAGAGGAGGAAGGGGAAAACAGAGGAGUCAGGAAUGACUCUUUCUCAGAUUUCACACCCAUGGAUUGGAGAUGGGGUGUCAGUGCUCCUGGGCAGCAGGGAUUGUUGAGAGACCCCAUCUGGAUGCACUGUCUGCUCUCUGUCAACCAGGAUAAAGAAGCUGCACAUGCAAGUCAGGUAUUAAUAUGCACAAUACCUGGUAAAAUCUGGAAAACAGAACGAUAAGGGGGAAUUUUUUUUUCCAUGGCUAAGAAAUUUAUUUAACCAAACAAUGAAAAACCAAUAAAGGGAUCAAAGUCAAGAGUGGUCUGAUCACAAGGACACUUUCCAGUUUUAGUAUACGUGCUGCCGAAGCGAGCACAACAAGGACGCUUUGAGGAAGGAAGAUUAUAGGCUGGCCGAUCUCACCCCUAAAUAUAAAUGCAAAAAUCUUAAACAUAGCAUUAGCACACUAUGUCAUGGGUCUCAAUUAUUUGUCUCCCCAUCCUAUGGGAGAAUUAUACUUCUAAUUCUCUAUGGGCAUCAGGCACGGUCAGAGGACUUGCUUAAGCCAAUAAAAUGUGAGCAAAAGUGACCCACGCCCUUUUCAAGCCGAAGCUUUAGGAGCCAUCCUGUGGUUCUACCAUGGAUCCUUCUGUGAUAUGAGUAGGGUGUCCUAGAUAAGGACUGCUCUACCCUUUUGGGUUCCAGAAUGAAGAAAAUGUGAAUAUUGCAGCCAAAAUUUAACCUGAGCACAAAAUAAACCCUGUUGCUCCAAAAAGAAAAAAAACAGUGGUCUGAUCAGAUUUGCGUUUUAGGACAUUAUAUUGGCAGCAGAGUUACCUGAUUUCACUUAUCUAAUUGCCUGAAAGAGACAAUAGACAUCAUUUAGAUAGGGAUAUGUUGAAAAGCUGAUCUCUGGUGGCCUCGGCCUACAGAGGCUUGAAGCAGAAUCUCAGCUCCCAGGUGGAGGUUGAAGUCAGGUCGUGGCAGUGAGAGUGCUGAAUCCUAGCCCCUAGACCACGAGGGCCAGUGGCCAUUGACAAGGCCCCUGGCCCGAAUUCGUUCAUAGAAACGAAUUGCGACAGACGGAAAGUAGUGAAACAAGUAAAGUGUUUAUUAGGAGGCAAAAGAGUACGUCUGAAUAGACAUACACGGGCAGGCUCAGAGAAAGAGUCAUACCUUUGUGGUAGUUUGAAUCACUUACAUAGGGCAUUUCUUCUGGGUUUCCUCUGGACAGUCAUCUUGCUUUGUCUGGCUCCGAGUCUGUAUUUGGUUUAUCCCAGGGUCCUCUCCUGUGUGUGCACGAGUCUCUCAGCCAAGGUGGAUUCUAGCGAAGACGCAUUAAGGGGAAAUUUGUUCUGACUUACUCAGAGACUCAGUUGAAGCUAAAGGAGCAAGUCACUGACUUAAUCUUAAUGAAUGGGAAUGGAAUGGAAAGUUCAGAACCUUACAUCAGUGACAGAGGGUGUUUUCUUCCAUCCUUGAAUUUAAACCAUGAAAUCAACCUAAAUCUCUGACAGUUGGACAUUCUUUAAAUCACCUUCAUCACCUCCAUUCCUCAGAGGCUGACUUUACCUGUGGAUUGUAUCCUUUGAGACAGAAGUUUUUACCUUUAAUGUAGGUAAGGUUCCAGCUUCAUUCUUUUGCUAGUAGGUAUGUAUUUUCUCAGCACCAUUUCUUAUUGAGACUAUCCUACCUUUUGUGUAGUCUUGGCACCCUUGUCUAUGCAUUUUACAUAUAUUCCAAGGAUUAUUUGAGUUUUCUAAUCUGUUCCAUUGGUUUAUGUAUCUGUGUUUAUGCCAGUACCACAUCAUGUUGAUUACUUUGUAAUAGGUUUUAAAAUCUAAAAAUGACUGCCUUCCUCUUCUUUUUCAAGAGUAUUUUGGCUGUUCGCUGCCUCUUGACAUUCCCUAUGAAUUUUAGCAUUUUUUUCUAUUACUGCAAAAAUUGCCUUUGAAAUUUUAUAUAGGGAUUCCGUUGAAUCUGUAGAACACUUUGGGUAAUUUGUUCAUUUUGUUCUUUUUUUUUCUUUU
Molecule: non-coding RNA, 3664 nt
Organism: Delphinapterus leucas (beluga whale)
Lineage: Eukaryota; Metazoa; Chordata; Mammalia; Artiodactyla; Monodontidae
Source: RefSeq, a predicted model, not a curated record